Molecule: long non-coding RNA, 3040 nt
Organism: Ailuropoda melanoleuca (giant panda)
Lineage: Eukaryota; Metazoa; Chordata; Mammalia; Carnivora; Ursidae
Exons: 9
Source: RefSeq, a predicted model, not a curated record
GCCAUGUUGUAAGCUUGCUGUGUGGAGAGGUUUACACAGCAAGGAACUGAAGCCUCCUGCCAACAACCAUCUCACGGAGAACAGCCUGGAGUAAGGGUUUCAUGAUAGAGAUUUUCUUCCCCUCUUGCGCUGGCUAACCCAACAUUGACAACGGAUAGUAAGCAGUUCUGGAAGUGGACAGACUUACACAAGACAACUCUAUAGAGCAGUGGUUCUUUGCUAUAGUUGUGCACCAGAAUCACCGGUACUGGAAGAGUGAUCUGAGCAAUGCCUGCUCUGGAGGUUCCGGUAAGACAUCAUUAUAAGGAAGGGCUCCCAGUGACUUCACGGAGAAGAAGAAAUACCAUCUGUGUCUUGAGGUCCAGGGAAUAUGCAUCAUGCUGAGGUUAACUCUUUCUUGACAAACCCAGAGCGCAUGUUCACAUGGACAAAGAAGUCAGAAUGACAACAUUAUUCAAGGAUUUCUGGACUUCAUUGCAAUGUGGGGGGAGAUUCCCGCCAACAAAACACCAAGCAAUUCUUGGACACCCUGCUGGUGUCAACUCAUUUUUGAUACUAUCUACCUGGAGAUAGCAUUAGCUUCCACAGAUUAAGGGUUCAAUCCUAUAAGACCGCCUGCAUCCCUCUUCCCAUUUCAGAAACCGCUCACAAGCCCCAGGCUGUUACCUGCACUUCUAACCAACCAGCUAUAGUUGGGAGGUUCCAAAGACCUCCUCCUUAGGUUCCUUUAACUUGCUAAAGCAGCUCACAGAGCUCAGGGAAAUACCUAUGUUUACCGUUUUACUAAAGGAUAUGAUAAAGGAUAUAAAUCAACAGCCAGAUGAAGAGAUAGAGAGGGCAAGGUAUGUGGAAAGGGUGCAGAGCUGUCAUGACCUCUCUAGGCACACUCUCCCUGUAUCUGAAGUGUUCACCAACCCGGAAGCUCUCCAAACACUGUCCUUUUGAACUUUUAUGGAAGCUUCAUUACAUUGGCACGAUUGAUGAACUAAUUGACCAUUGGCUAAUUCAACAUCCAGCCCCUCUCUGAUCCUUGGAGAUUGGGGAUGAGGGGAGCAGAACCGAAAAUUUCAACCCUUUAAUCACGUGGUUGGUUCUGGCAGCUAGCCCAUACCCUUGGGUGGGGUCCAAGAGUCACCUCAUUAACAUAAUAAAGACCUUCAUCACUCCUAUCACAGGAAAUUCCAAGGGUUUUAGGAGCUGUGAAUGAAGAACUAGGGAUAAAGACCAAUACACAGAAGAUACGCAUUUUGGUAUCUGACUCAGACAGGAUCUCUUAAGAUCACAAUAUGGCGCAGGUACUAGAAAUGAAUUUCAUUAGAAAAGUAACAACUAAGCAAAGACGUAGUGGCGAGGAUGACCACCUGGGGAAAGAGUGUUUUAGGCUUUUAGAACAACCAGUGCCAAGGGCAAAAGGGAGCUAGAGGUUCCAGGAACACGAAGCUGGGGUUGCUGCCACAGAGCUAAGUCAGAAAGACCACAGAUGUUAGAUCCCAUUCCAUUUGUAGCCAUCUGUGAGCACUUUGUCUUUUACUCAGUGAAACAGAGAGCAAAUAAAGUUUGUUUUAUUUUAUUCUAUUCUAGCAGAGGAGUGACAUCUGAUUUGCAUUUUUUAAAGCAUCCCUCUGGGUGCCAUGUUGAGAGUAAUCAAGGGGAUAGGGUGGAAGCAGGAAGACGAGUUAGGCUGUGGCAGAGAGUGUCCACAGAUGCUCAGCUCCACGCUUGGGCUUCUAAACUCUCCUUUGUGUAUCAUGAGUCUGGAAGCUUUGGGCCAAUAUUCCUAGACUCUCCUGCCAGCUGGUUUCCACAUAGAAUCUGCCAAUGGAGAGGAUGGUAGGAGGAUGAAUGUAGGAAGAAGAGAAGUCAUUAAUUCUGCUUCUGAUGGCACCUGCAGUCUCGUGGUUGUAGGAGCAGCGGGUGACUGAGCACCUAGAGGACAGGAAAGCCAUGAACUGAUAGGGAGAUGAGUACAGGUGGGGCGUGCUGGCGGUAGAAGUGGGUAUGCGAGUAGGCGGGAGAGUAGGAGUUCAAUUUUGGACACAGGAAGUUUGAGAUGCCUAGUAGUUGUGUGAAUGGGGAUAUCAAAAAGUGACUGGACAGUCUGGAAUGGGCUGUGGAAAUAAAUCUGGAAGUUCGUGAUGUCAUUAAAGACAUGAGAUUGGGUGAGCUCAUUGAAGAAUAGAAAAAAAAAAAAAGCACCCCUUAGAUCCAGGCUCUCUGACAUUAAAACUCAGGGAGGAGAAGAGAAACUAAAAAAAGGGAUUAAGAAAGAGUGACCAGUAUUGUAGGAUGAAGAUCUCAGAGAAGAGAGCAUGACCAACUUUGUCAAGUAGGCUGAUGAGUCAAAAAGAUGAGGACACCCAACGGACAGCUGGCUUCUGCACCAUGGAGGGUGUUCAGCAAGGUCAGAAGCUCUCUGAGAACAGACUGGGAAAUGGCUCUGUGCUCACUUGUUCACUUAGCUGUCAAGAUGGAUGUAACUCAGGACUUGAAGAGGACUUUUGAUUAUAUCAGCAAAUAACUUCAGAACAAAAGUGGCUUUACUUCUUUGGAAUCCUGUCUUUCAGACUUCGGUUCGAGAGAGAGAGAGCACAAGUGAGGGGAGCUGCAGAGGGAGAUGGAGAGAGAGAAUCUCCAGCAGACGCCCCACUGAGUGCAAAGCCCUUUGCAGACUCAGUCUCCGGACCCUGAGACGAUGAUCUGAGCAGAAAUCAAGAGUUGGAUGCUUAACCAACUAAGCCACCCAGGCGCCCCUCUCCUGUACUCUCUUAAUGGACCAUGACGUUUCUGCUCCCCGUGCCUUUGCUCAGUUUGCUCCGUCCCCUCGGAACAACAUCCUGCUUUCCUUUCCCUCUCUGGCUAAGUUCUUUCUCCCUCUGUCUAACUCCUUUGUAACUAAGAUCCUCUGGAAAACCUUGCCUACCCUCCCUUUGGCCCAGGCUGAAUCAGGUGCUCUUCCUAUAUGCCUAUUUCAGUCUUAGCACAUCUCAUAUUAUUCUGUAAUUUUUUAUUAUAUUAUCUAUUCUCCUUAUCCAAGAAUAAA